Molecule: ribosomal RNA, 742 nt
Filed under: uncultured bacterium
Lineage: Bacteria
Description: bacterial SSU rRNA
Rfam family: Bacterial small subunit ribosomal RNA
Source: RNAcentral
AGAGUUUGAUCCUGGCUCAGAACGAACGCUGGCGGCAGGCUUAACACAUGCAAGUCGAACGCAUCCUUCGGGGUGAGUGGCAGACGGGUGAGUAACGCGUGGGAACGUGCCCUUCAGUUCGGGAUAACCCAGGGAAACUUGGGCUAAUACCGGAUACGUGCGAGAGCAGAAAGAUUUAUCGCUGAAGGAUCGGCCCGCGUCUGAUUAGCUAGUUGGUGAGGUAAUGGCUCACCAAGGCGACGAUCAGUAGCUGGUCUGAGAGGAUGAUCAGCCACAUUGGGACUGAGACACGGCCCAAACUCCUACGGGAGGCAGCAGUGGGGAAUAUUGGACAAUGGGCGCAAGCCUGAUCCAGCCAUGCCGCGUGAGUGAUGAAGGCCUUAGGGUUGUAAAGCUCUUUCGUCCGGGACGAUAAUGACGGUACCGGAAGAAGAAGCCCCGGCUAACUUCGUGCCAGCAGCCGCGGUAAUACGAAGGGGGCUAGCGUUGUUCGGAAUCACUGGGCGUAAAGGGCGCGUAGGCGGCUUGAUAAGUCGGGGGUGAAAGCCUGUGGCUCAACCACAGAAUUGCCUUCGAUACUGUCUGGCUUGAGACCGGAAGAGGUAAGUGGAACUGCGAGUGUAGAGGUGAAAUUCGUAGAUAUUCGCAAGAACACCAGUGGCGAAGGCGGCUUACUGGUCCGGUUCUGACGCUGAGGCGCGAAAGCGUGGGGAGCAAACAGGAUUAGAUACCCUAGUAGUCC